AUGGCGCGCCCCUGCACGCCGUCGUUGGCAGCGGCUCUGCUAUGCCUGGUGAUCAUAUCGGGCGAGCGGUUCUUGCCGCAGUGCGCGGGCUGUACGCGUGAUGAUAGGAGGGCGCUUCUGGACAUCCAGAGUUUCCUCUCUGAGCACUUGCCGUCGAACUACUGGGAUUCGAGCAUCAGAGACUGCUGCCAGUGGAGGGACGUCACCUGCGACUCCCGCACAGGCCGUGUCACGGGCCUGGACCUUGAUGCGUUUCCAUACCCACCUGCGUCGCCACUCAACACUUCUCUCUUCCUUCCCUUGGAGGAGCUGCAGAGUCUGUCCCUGAAGAACGUCGGUAUAAACGGAUGCAUGCCUGGUGCAGGCUUUGAAAUAUGGUCAAAAUUAACAAAACUAAAAGUUCUUGAUCUAUCUGGAAAUAUGUUGAACGACAGUAUCAUCACAUCCUUAGUUGCACUUUCAACAAUUCGAUCCCUCUUCCUCAAUUAUACCGCCUUGAGCUCUGCUGUGACAAUUCAACAAUUGAGCACAAUGAAGCUAGAGACUCUUGAUCUAAGUGAUAAUGCAAUCAACGGAACCAUAUCAACAGGUAUUUGUAAUAUGGAGAUUCUACAAGAGUUACAUCUUAAUGACAAUAUGCUAUUCGGGGAGCUUCCAUCAUGCAUAGGAAAUCUAACUUCCCUCAGGGUUCUCGAUCUGUCAAAUAAUCUAUUAAGAGUCAAGCUCCCAUCUCCUAGCUUUGCAAAGUUCACAUCACUCGUGAAACUUUCACUCUCCAAUAACCAUCUCGAAGGAGUUCUCUUCUUGAGUUCCUUGUCAAACAAUAGACAAUUGACACAUCUAGAACUUGCAAGCAGCGGGAAUGAUUUCCAGCUGCAAACUGAGAAUCCAGCAACGGAUAUGUCAGCUCAGCUUCAAGUACUAGUACUGCGCAAUUGCAACCUUAAUGGAAAUUCUGCCGUUAUACCAAGAUUUCUGUUGCAUCAACAUUCACUAGACUUAAUUGAUAUGUCUAAUAAUAACCUAGGUGGUUACUUCCCAUCAUGGCUGAUAGAGAACAACGUGAACCUAUCAUAUCUAAUUCUGCGAGGUAACUCUUUCAGUGGACCUCUUUUUCCUCCACCCAAAGUACACAUCAAUUUGCAAUGGUUGGAUGCAUCUUGCAACAAGCUAAGCAAAUUAACUAUGGAAAUCAAUGUCUCUUUACCCAAUCUGCAGUACCUAAACUUGUCAGACAAUUCUUUUCAGGGUGUCUUUCCUUCUUCCUUUAACAACAUGGUUAGUCGAGUAGGUGUAGACUUGUCUUCCAACAAUUUCCUAGAUGACAUAGGGGCCGCAUUCAAGAUGAUCGGUAUCGCUAAUUUGAUCCUCUCUCGGAACAAUUUCUAUGGUUCACUCCCUCAAGAACUCCCGCCACAUUUUUCUCAUCUAGUGCUAAAUGACAAUAAAAUCACGGGGAAAAUUCCUGAGAGCAUAUGUUUUAAUAUAUUCCUUACUGUGCUUGAUUUUAGCAAUAACAACUUGAUUGGCUCUCUCCCUACGUGCAUUUAUGCACUCCCUCUUCUCGUCAUCUUGAAUUUAAAAGGGAACUCAUUGGUUGGAUCGAUUCCGUCAGAGAUAUGCCACCUCAAUAGACUUAUCUUUCUUGAUGUCUCGAGAAACAAUCUUUCUGGCCCAAUUCCUUGUUUACCCAAUGUGCAGUACCUUCACCUAAGUGAAAAUCAAUUUAAUGGAACUUUUCCGUUGUCCUUGGGAACUGAUAUAUAUACAAUCGAUCUACAAGGAAACCAGUUCAGUGGCAUCCUUCCAAGGUUGAUGUUCAAGGCCUUUCCAAAGCUACAAAUAAUGUUGUUGGAACGAAAUAUGUUCGAAGGAAUGAUUCCAAAUGAUAUAUGUCAUUUGAAGUGUUUGCGCCUACUAGAUCUGUCUCAUAACAAGCUAUCCGGGAAGCUACCCUCGUGCUUGAGCAAUAUUGGAUCAGAUGAUGAGUCAUUUAAUUUCCAGUACAGUGAUAGAAACAUUACUUCUAUUUUUCUUAUGUUUCCGGUGAGUUCUUAUCAAGAUCUCUUAGCCCAAUAUACUAAAUUUAUUUCGCAACCAGACCAAGAGGAAUUCAUGACCAAGAGCAGGAAGGACUACUACAAGGGUAACAUGCUCAACUACAUGUCUGGACUUGAUUUCUCUUCGAACCAGUUGAAAGGAUCCAUUCCUGAAAGCAUCGGUGACAUGAAAUGGUUACGUGCACUGAAUUUCUCGGCCAAUUACUUCGAUGGAUCUAUACCACAAUCCUUAUCAAACUUAAGUGACCUCGAGAGUUUGGAUCUCUCUCACAACAACUUGGCGGGCCAAAUACCUUCAGAGCUAGCAGCAUUACGGUCCCUUGAGGUGUUCUCAGUGGCAUACAACAACCUGUCUGGUCCGACGCCAGGAAUAAAGGGGCAGUUCAUCACAUUUGAUCAGAGCAGCUACGAAGGAAAUCCAUAUCUCUGUGGCCCACCAUUGUUGAGUUGCUCUGAGGCGCCGUCAGUUCCCGAGCUUGAAGAAAAUAAGGAAGAUGAUAAAGUUGAUGAUAUAAUCCUGUUUGGCUGUUCAGCAAUGUUUUACAUGGUUGGUUUCUGGACUUCCAUGGGUGUGCUUUACUUCAAGACAAGCUGGCGAUGGUCAUGGUUUUCUGUCGUGGACAGGUUCAGCGAUUGUGUAAUGGCUAAAUUGGCAAUAUAUACAAGAAAGAUCCGUGGCGCCAACUGA
This 2748-nucleotide ribosomal RNA is filed under the name Triticum aestivum (bread wheat). RNAcentral describes it as "partial small subunit ribosomal RNA". Lineage: Eukaryota; Viridiplantae; Streptophyta; Magnoliopsida; Poales; Poaceae. The record is from RNAcentral.